This is a long non-coding RNA of Ahaetulla prasina, 846 nucleotides long. RefSeq lists it as uncharacterized. The transcript is spliced from 5 exons. Lineage: Eukaryota; Metazoa; Chordata; Lepidosauria; Squamata; Colubridae. The record is from RefSeq and is a predicted model, not a curated record.
UUCUGCAGGUGUCCUGGGUGGGGAAGUGCCCAGAGACAGAACACCCUGAUCAAAGCUAUUGUGCUGACAGAAUAGAUUAGUAUCCAAAGGAGAAGCUUCAGGCAAAACCUGAUGGGAAUGACAGUAGGGAUUAAAGCUGGAAAAUAACCUGAUCCCGAGGAGUGACUCAGAUCAGCAUUGUUUGACAGGGAGAAGGUUUCAGGGAUGAAGGGCUGAUCCUGUCAAAGAUGGGGGAGUGGCGAGAGCCUAAAGCUCCCAGCGUAUAUCUUCCAUCCGAGUUCCCCUGUCCGCAGGUACAGGUGGGGUACUUUCUCAACAGCCGAUUGGACCCAGGUUGCAUCUCAGUUGAUGACAGCCCCUUGCUGGCUGUGGCGAGGCUCAGAAAGUCAGCAGGAUUGGACCCAGUUUGAUGGAAGAAGCUUUGAUGGCACAACCUUGAGGCUGCAAGCUAGAUGGAGAUGCUGAAAACACAUCUUGGAAGAAAACAUUUUGGUGCCAAGAAGUCAUCGAGAGUGGAUUUUCCAAACCUGAACCAUGGGCAGGAUGGCAAGUUCCAGCCAAAAAUAUUCCUUACCUUUAAAGAAAACAAAUUCAAGUUUGCACUGUUUAUAACUGAGCUACCCUGGAAAAACUUCCCAGGAAGAGUUGUCUGAUGGUAUUUUUUCUUAAGAAUGGAAGUGUGGGAAGCCCAGAAGCUAUAGACCUCUGAGAAAGAAAAUAAAAGAUCAUUUCCUGAAUUAUUUUAAAAAUUCAGAGCAAACAUCCCCAUCAGUGUCAGCUGAUUGUCUGGAUGGAAACAGAAGUAAAAUGCAAGUCAAAUAUGGAUAGAUCUUGUUAUGGCUAGAG